Molecule: long non-coding RNA, 3609 nt
Filed under: Anas platyrhynchos platyrhynchos (common mallard)
Lineage: Eukaryota; Metazoa; Chordata; Aves; Anseriformes; Anatidae
Description: lncRNA (ENSAPLG00000027968.1)
Source: RNAcentral
AUGGUGAAUGGGGAGUGGAAAAAGGAUGGUGCACAGGAUGAUUUCGAUUCAUAUGUCUAUAUCGUAAUUCCUAAUAUCAGCAGUGAAUGGCAAGUAUAUACUUCUUGGAGCAGAAUUAGGGCUUAUCCUUCAACAUUAAACAUCUAUGAGUCAAAGGCAAUUACGUUCAAUGCUUUUUUGGUGCUAAGUUAUAGCAGGCCCUUGACACUUAAAAGUUGUUAACAUGUUUCUGAAGUCUAGUGGCAUACAUUUGCGAAGUACUUCCUUGUUUUUUAUUUUCACUAGCGGUAAUUCAGUUUCUGAAAAAAGCCUUGAGUGUCUGCUGGCAUAUGUUGUAGGCUCUUUUCUGUAAGUGGGAAAUGUUUUGGUUGCUGUAGCAGUAAAUGUAAAGGAAUGAAAAGGUAGUGACUUUUUACUCCUUAUAUUACAUGUGGAGGCUUAGAAGGUGUCUUCAAUAUUAUUUAAAUCUGUAUAAUAACAUGAGUUUAUUAUUUGUUGUUUACAAAAUCUCAUUAAGGAAGCAAAUUUUUCCUGUAUUUUAGCAUUUGUGGAAAAAAAUGGGGGAAGAGAUAGAGAAAAGGAGAAAGAAGUAUGGAAAGCAUGGAGGCAAAAUUCAGAGCUUAGGGUUCUGAUUCAUAUUCCAGACUGACCUGAUAACUACAUGAGGAGGCCAUCUGUGCAUUUGAUUUUGUGACAGUAUUUGCUAUUCUCAGAUUCCCCUGAUUUUUUUUGGUCAAAAUAACACAAAAGCUGUUCACAGCAUUUUAAUAGAAGCCAAGAAAUGUGCCCUUCAUUAUUUUGAAAAGAAAUUGCAGGUACAGUUUCUGCUGAUUUCAGUAUAAUUUCAUUUUUUUUCCCCCCUGCUUUUGAUUGGGUGUUUACAGGUGGCUUUCCUCUAGUAUAUUCUUCUGUCACAUGAACUAUCAGCUUUUGCUAGGAAAAAUCCCCCUUGCUGUAGUUGCCAGGCUCGAGGUCUGCUCCUGCAGCAGUUCUGGAGCAAACGUGCCGGGUCGGUGGUGCAGCCUAGCACGUGGGAACAUGACAAAUUAUAAUAAUUACAUUCUUGUUCACGAAGUUUCUGCUUUGCAGGGGACUGGAGCUGGUGAUACUUGCUUGCAAUUAGCUUUGUGAACUGCUGUAAUUAUACAUUUGGAAAAUGACAGCAUUUUACUUUUCCUCAUUGUUCAAAGAACAGAUGACUAUAGACAAGAAGUACCUUGUAAUGGUUCUGAAUUACACUUAAGUGUUUGCUGUUUAAUACUGCUUAAUCCUGUGUUAUUGCUUUUAUUAUUUUUGAGUGUUUACUUGGGUUCAAUUUGGGGGAUUGUAUAACAAUUGAAGUGUCUGAUUGUGCUGGCUUCAAAUUCCAGUUAACAUACAAACUGCUAAAUCGUCCAUGCAAUUCUGUAUAUACACAUGCCAUAUAAGCCCAUCGCUAUUUACAUACACGCCAUGUAUGUGGAGCUGAAAUGGAGUUGAUAUCUUUUUCUCGUGCCUUUGACUGCUUCACUUGCUCUCUGCCUUUUAAUCUCUCUCUCCAGGAUUUACAGUGGCAUUUCAGGGGUUGCGAAUAACUGCCAUUAAAAACAAAAACAGAAAAAUAAGCUCAGAGGGAAACGCUUUCUCUUGUGGUGCUUCUCCUCCUCCUCCUGCAUGUGGGGUUCCCCUCAGCCCUAACAGAGAGGCAGAAUAUGUGCCUUUGGUUAAUGUGUGUGGGAUGGGUGAAUUGUGCUACUGCAUGGGAGAGGUGCCUCGGUGUCAUUUUCAGUUUGUAAAGACAACACAUGACUAUAGAAUGGAGGUUAAUAUGCAUUAUAUGUUACUAAAGCAUAUUUUUCUGAAGUUUUGAAAUGUUAUUUGUUCUGUUUCUCCAAUUUUCUUCAUAAAGCCAGUUUUUGUAGUACAUAACUAUAAAUAUCUUUUUUUUUCAGAAGAGCUAGUUUACAGGAAGAGCUGGGAAAAUUAAGGUUUUCACAUUGUACUGUCUUGUGAAGCGAUGUUAUUUAGACAGAAAUGGCAGCCCAAACCAUCUCCUUAUGCUGGGAGGUUUAUGUUUAGAAAACAUCUUUUUUUUUUGUUUGUUUGUUUCUGGUGCAAACUGGAUCACCAGCUCUCACCAAAGGAUGGUGUUGGCUGCAGCUUUGUGCAUGCUUAGAGAGUGGCUCCAGGUAGUAUCCAGGGGAUUGAUACAGAGCUGUCUUAUACUUUGCUUAGAAUUAUAAACCUGAAGACAUAAAUCCUGAUGUUUUUAAGAUCUGUUUAGGCUUUCAUUACCUGUGCAUCAUGAUACCUCAGAUAUAAACAAUCAAAAAUUUGGGACUAUGUGAAACGUAGUAUGAAGUCUAAGUGUGAUUUAUUGAGCAAAAUGCUCAGAUUUUGGAGGUGAAGAUUAAAGGUAAGAAUUUGAAGACUACUUCAGCUGCAGAGCAGAUGUGGCUAAGAUGAAAAUAAUAGUGUUUCUGUUUGGAUGCAGCACAAGACAUUAACAGUAUACUGUUUCCAGUAACAUAAUGAGUCAUGAGAAUUGCGGAGGGUGGAAAUUCCUAUUAUAAACUCCAGCAUUAAUGUACUUGUUUAAAAUACUGAGAACAUUUCCCCCUUUCCUUUUAUGUAGCAUUUAUCUAUGCACUUCAGUUAGGGUUCCAGGCUUCAUUUUUCCACCAUGCACUAGAAGAAAUCUGGCCUUAUUAAAUCCCAAGUCUUUUCAAUGUCUAUCACAAAUGUAAAUGAACAGUCUGUAGUGUUGCAUGCUCUCCAGAUUGCUCUGAUGAUCAUGUUGCCAUGGCAAUAACAGAGCAUACAGGUUCAUGAGACAGCAUUAGUAAUGCAGCAGUUUGAAACUUAAUCAAUGUACUGCUACUUCUCUGUAUUUCAAUAUCACUUCAGGAAAAUUGAAUUCUAGUCAGUUGUCAGUCCAGUUUAUUUCCUAUGGAUUUCUUCUACAAAAUUUCCCUCUUUAUUCUAGACACUGAUCAUGAUACAGUAAUUGAAAUCUGUAGUGGUCUGUCAUACUAAUUAGAUGACUGUCUUGUAGCAGGCAAUCUUUGGCUGUUGUAUUCGGCAGCAAAUAGAUGAGAAAUAUUUUGGUCUGAAUAUAUUUGUGUUUACAUUUUUUGUGCAAAAAAAAAUCUCUUCAGAAGAAUAAUCUUGGACAGUUUUGUUUAUUUUGAAAAAAUUUAAGAAUGAUGUGGAACUAGAAGAUGACUUUACCUGUUAGAAGUAAGGUAAAGCUGUCAAGAACAAGCAAAUGAAUGUUGUCUCCUAGAUCUUAAGCAAUACACUUGAGGAAAAGGUAUUUUACACUUACAAAAGCAUUAAUCAAAAUAUGUUCACAGCAGUACUUCAGGUUCUCUCUGAAAUAAUUUUAACUUCUAAAAUAAUGUCAACAAAUAAUUGUUGAUAAUUAUUAUAUUGAUAACAUCAUUAAGGCAAUCAGCCAGUUGGGGAUCUAUAUAUAGUUUUAGAGAUGAACAAUGAUAAAUAGUUAAAAAAAAAAAAACAAAAAACAAAAAACACAAAGGUGUUCACAUGGCAAGACUUUGUUUUUGUGUUAUCAUAUGUAUUCAGGAAUACAAUAAAAACCUUAAUUUUUCUCUUGGUAUGAAAAAU